UAGGGAAUCUUCGGCAAUGGGGGGAACCCUGACCGAGCAACGCCGCGUGAGUGAAGAAGGUUUUCGGAUCGUAAAGCUCUGUUGUUAAGGAAGAACGAGUGUGAGAAUGGAAAGUUCAUGCUGUGACGGUACUUAACCAGAAAGGGACGGCUAACUACGUGCCAGCAGCCGCGGUAAUACGUAGGUCCCGAGCGUUGUCCGGAUUUAUUGGGCGUAAAGCGAGCGCAGGCGGUUAGAAAAGUCUGAAGUGAAAGGCAGUGGCUCAACCAUUGUAGGCUUUGGAAACUGUUUAACUUGAGUGCAGAAGGGGAGAGUGGAAUUCCAUGUGUAGCGGUGAAAUGCGUAGAUAUAUGGAGGAACACCGGUGGCGAAAGCGGCUCUCUGGUCUGUAACUGACGCUGAGGCUCGAAAGCGCGGGGAGCGAACAGG
Molecule: ribosomal RNA, 429 nt
Filed under: Bacteroidota bacterium
Lineage: Bacteria; Pseudomonadati; Bacteroidota
Description: Bacteroidetes bacterium partial 16S ribosomal RNA
Rfam family: Bacterial small subunit ribosomal RNA
Source: RNAcentral